Oncorhynchus tshawytscha (Chinook salmon) is the source of this 417-nucleotide long non-coding RNA. Lineage: Eukaryota; Metazoa; Chordata; Actinopteri; Salmoniformes; Salmonidae. The record is from Ensembl.
AUAACAUUGUGGUACUAUGUGUGCAUUAUCAAUCUAGCAUAACUGUGUUGACCCUGUCCACCUUUAUCGGUCUCCCCAUAGAAGACCAAUACAAAUGGACAGAGUUGAAAACCCAAUCAGUUUCAAUCCAAACAUCCACCUGGCCUGUGAACAUUUAUUUAACCCUCAUUUGACCAGGCUGCAGUCCUCGCUGAGCAGCUGCAGCCGGUACAGAGCGUCCUUGGUGCGCAGCAGCUCCUCCUUUGUGCCCCUCAGACGCCUGGAUAGACAGUUGCGGCGGUUGCGGGCUUUACACUGGAGCCCCUGCAGAGCCCGCAUCGCGUUUCCGUGCUUGGCCAGAACCUGACGGUGUGGCAUACCCGGGGAAGGCCACUCUGUGAAUCCUGGAAGCGCUGUAGCACCACCGCGUGGCGGCCC